AUGACGCGUGCCAGCCAUCCCCCGGCUCCCGUGGAGUGUAAGGCCGACGCCCCCACGCCCGUAGACCGAACCCUAGGGAUAUUUCCCUCUCCCCUUUCCUCGUUCCGCGGGGUCUCCAUCGCCGGAUCGGGCACCUCCCUCCGCUUCGGCCGUCGCCGUCUCGCCAUCACCAUCGCCUCUCCGGUCCACCCCAACCCUUCCCGAGCGCGCCAAUGGUCUCGCGACCCCCGAGACCGCUGCCGGUACCCUGUUGUCGACUACGGUGUUGACGACCCUUCUUGCCAGAGCAACCAGACGUUAGAGCCUAGGAGCCAGACGCCACCGUCGACGACGACUACUACUACUCGGGAGGUGCGUACUACUACGUGUAGCCCGUUGACAACGACCAGGAGUAGUUAG
This 399-nucleotide ribosomal RNA is filed under the name Triticum aestivum (bread wheat). RNAcentral describes it as "partial small subunit ribosomal RNA". Lineage: Eukaryota; Viridiplantae; Streptophyta; Magnoliopsida; Poales; Poaceae. The record is from RNAcentral.